ACGAACGCUGGCGGCAGGCCUAACACAUGCAAGUCGAACGCCCUAGCAAUAGGGAGUGGCAGACGGGUGAGUAACACGUGGGAAUCUUCCUGUUGGUACGGAAUAGCUCAGGGAAACUUGAGGUAAUACCGUAUAAGCCCGAGAGGGGAAAGAUUUAUCGCCGACAGAUGAGCCCGCGUCUGAUUAGCUAGUUGGUGAGGUAAUGGCUCACCAAGGCGACGAUCAGUAGCUGGUCUGAGAGGAUGACCAGCCACACUGGGACUGAGACACGGCCCAGACUCCUACGGGAGGCAGCAGUGGGGAAUAUUGGACAAUGGGCGCAAGCCUGAUCCAGCCAUGCCGCGUGAGUGACGAAGGUCUUCGGAUUGUAAAGCUCUUUUACCAGGGACGAUAAUGACGGUACCUGGAGAAUAAGCCCCGGCUAACUUCGU
RNAcentral lists this ribosomal RNA (431 nucleotides) under uncultured bacterium. RNAcentral describes it as "bacterial SSU rRNA". It matches the Rfam family "Bacterial small subunit ribosomal RNA", at positions 29 to 506 of the family's 1533-position model. The record is from RNAcentral.